GGCAAUAUAGCUCAGCUGGUUAGAGCACAGCAUUCAUAAUGCUGGGGUCGCAGGUUCAAGUCCCGCUAUUGCUACCA
This 77-nucleotide transfer RNA is filed under the name Shewanella hanedai. RNAcentral describes it as "tRNA-Met". It matches the Rfam family "tRNA". From Rfam's summary of the family: Transfer RNA (tRNA) molecules are approximately 80 nucleotides in length. Their secondary structure includes four short double-helical elements and three loops (D, anti-codon, and T loops). RNAcentral also lists the same sequence under 22 other names. Lineage: Bacteria; Pseudomonadati; Pseudomonadota; Gammaproteobacteria; Alteromonadales; Shewanellaceae. The record is from RNAcentral.